RNAcentral lists this ribosomal RNA (351 nucleotides) under uncultured bacterium. RNAcentral describes it as "bacterial SSU rRNA". It matches the Rfam family "Bacterial small subunit ribosomal RNA", at positions 8 to 350 of the family's 1533-position model. The record is from RNAcentral.
AGAGUUUGAUCAUGGCUCAGGAUGAACGCUAGCUACAGGCUUAACACAUGCAAGUCGAGGGGAAACGACAUCGAAAGCUUGCUUUUGAUGGGCGUCGACCGGCGCACGGGUGAGUAACGCGUAUCCAACCUGCCCAUCACUUGGGGAUAACCUUGCGAAAGUAAGACUAAUACCCAAUGAUAUCUCUAGAAGGCAUCUGAAAGAGAUUAAAGAUUUAUCGGUGAUGGAUGGGGAUGCGUCUGAUUAGCUUGUUGGCGGGGUAACGGCCCACAAAGCAACGAUCAGUAGGGGUUCUGAGAGGAAGGUCCCCCANAUUGGAACUGAGACACGGUCCAAACUCCUACGGAGGCA